Long non-coding RNA from Topomyia yanbarensis, 483 nucleotides. RefSeq lists it as uncharacterized. The record is from RefSeq and is a predicted model, not a curated record. The transcript is spliced from 3 exons. Lineage: Eukaryota; Metazoa; Arthropoda; Insecta; Diptera; Culicidae.
AGAAAAAAAGUCAAGUCAUUCGGUAAAAAGUAGCGUAAGCUAGAACACAUUUUCACAAUUGUUAUAAAUUAACCCAAUUCUCAAGUUAAAUAAUUGUUCCCAUUUCUAACUAAAUCUACCCUAACUGUACUGUGGUAAGUUUAAUUAUAUUAGAUGUUUAUAAAUACCUAAAAUUGAACCUAACAGGAAUUAAAGCUACGGUACGGACAGAGUUAGUGCGGGUAGGAAACAGUACGGAUACAAUUUAUACGGAGAAACAGUACGGAUCGAAGACUGUGCGAACAAUACCAUUAGGAGCACAUUUAAAUUACAAUUUAAAUAGACUUCGAAACCGAACAGGUCAUUAAGGACACAGACUGAUUACUGUACGGGUACGAUUUAGACAGCUCUGUACGGCAGCGAAAACAUUAACAGAAUUUAUAAUCCAACCUUGAUUCACAACGAAUAAAGAAGAUUCAUAGAUUUGCUAGUUUUCACUGCUGU